CGUGUAGGCGGCCAGGCAGGUCCGUUGUGAAAACUGGAGGCUCAACCUCCAGACGUCGAUGGAAACCGCUUGGCUAGAGUCCGGAAGAGGAGAGUGGAAUUCCUGGUGUAGCGGUGAAAUGCGCAGAUAUCAGGAAGAACACCGAUGGCGAAGGCAGCUCUCUGGGACGGUACUGACGCUGAGAGCGAAAGCGUGGGGAGCGAACA
RNAcentral lists this ribosomal RNA (206 nucleotides) under uncultured bacterium. Its description in RNAcentral is "partial 16S ribosomal RNA". It matches the Rfam family "Bacterial small subunit ribosomal RNA", at positions 568 to 774 of the family's 1533-position model. The record is from RNAcentral.